Molecule: long non-coding RNA, 440 nt
Organism: Mytilus trossulus (common blue mussel)
Lineage: Eukaryota; Metazoa; Mollusca; Bivalvia; Mytilida; Mytilidae
Exons: 4
Source: RefSeq, a predicted model, not a curated record
AGGCGGCUGUUGAUUGCUUCACACAUUUCAGAAGUAUUGGUCAGUCUUGGAGUGAAACAGACUGUUUGCUCUGUCUGUAGAGACAAAGCAGCUGCAGUAGGGACCGCCUUCUCUCUCAUUUUGCAUAAAAGAUACCCCAGAAGCUUUCAAAUGUUCCAAAGUUUGAACUCCAUUCAUCUGUGGCGUCAUGGUAUUUCACAAUCACUUUUCAGAGAUAUUAACCAUCUGGGGCUUUCCCUGAGCCACAAGGCAACUGUUGCCAGAAUAGACGCACUGAGACAAGAAUACGACAAUAGCUUGAUGAAGUGGAAAAAUGAAAUUGAGGUGCAUUUGGAAAAUGAAAAUGACAAUGAUGAAGACGAUGAUGAUAUUUAGAUGAUAGUUGAUUUAGAUUUAACUAUGGAUGGAGUUACCCCUAUAGUUGAUGCACCAGAACCUCC